CAGCAGCCACGGUAAAACGAAGGGUGCAAGCGUUACUCGGAAUUACUGGGCGUAAAGCGUGCGUAGGUGGUGGUUUAAGUCCGUUGUGAAAGCCCUGGGCUCAACCUGGGAAUUGCAGUGGAUACUGGGUCACUAGAGUGUGGUAGAGGAUAGUGGAAUUUCCGGUGUAGCAGUGAAAUGCGUAGAGAUCGGAAGGAACAUCUGUGGCGAAGGCGACUAUCUGGGCCAACACUGACACUGAGGCACGAAAGCGUGGGGAGCAAACAGGAUUAGAUACCCCUGUAGUCCCUGUCUCUUAUAC
This 301-nucleotide ribosomal RNA is filed under the name uncultured bacterium. Its description in RNAcentral is "partial 16S ribosomal RNA". It matches the Rfam family "Bacterial small subunit ribosomal RNA", at positions 509 to 807 of the family's 1533-position model. The record is from RNAcentral.